AAUAAGAUGCCUGAAAAAAGGGUAAUUUUGAUAGAAUUAAACAUGUGAUAAUCACUCUUAUUA
This 63-nucleotide transfer RNA is filed under the name Longitarsus nigrocillus. RNAcentral's name for it is "tRNA-Ile". Lineage: Eukaryota; Metazoa; Arthropoda; Insecta; Coleoptera; Chrysomelidae. The record is from RNAcentral.